Molecule: ribosomal RNA, 506 nt
Filed under: uncultured bacterium
Lineage: Bacteria
Description: partial 16S ribosomal RNA
Rfam family: Bacterial small subunit ribosomal RNA
Source: RNAcentral
AGUGAACGCUGGCGGUAGGCCUAACACAUGCAAGUCGAACGGCAGCACAGAGGAGCUUGCUCCUUGGGUGGCGAGAGGCGGACGGGUGAGGAAUACAUCGGAAUCUACUCUGUCGUGGGGGAUAACGUAGGGAAACUUACGCUAAUACCGCAUACGACCUACGGGUGAAAGCAGGGGAUCUUCGGACCUUGCGCGAUUGAAUGAGCCGAUGUCGGAUUAGCUAGUUGGCGGGGUAAAGGCCCACCAAGGCGACGAUCCGUAGCUGGUCUGAGAGGAUGAUCAGCCACACUGGAACUGAGACACGGUCCAGACUCCUACGGGAGGCAGCAGUGGGGAAUAUUGGACAAUGGGCGCAAGCCUGAUCCAGCCAUACCGCGUGGGUGAAGAAGGCCUUCGGGUUGUAAAGCCCUUUUGUUGGGAAAGAAAUCCAGCUGGCUAAUACCCGGUUGGGAUGACGGUACCCAGAGAAUAAGCACCGGCUAACUUCGUGCCAGCCGCCGCCGUAA